CUACAGGCUUAACACAUGCAAGUCGAGGGGCAGCAUUUUAGUUUGCUUGCAAACUGAAGAUGGCGACCGGCGCACGGGUGAGUAACACGUAUCCAACCUGCCGAUAACUCCGGAAUAGCCUUUCGAAAGAAAGAUUAAUACCGGAUAGCAUACGAAUAUCGCAUGAUAUUUUUAUUAAAGAAUUUCGGUUAUCGAUGGGGAUGCGUUCCAUUAGUUUGUUGGCGGGGUAACGGCCCACCAAGACUACGAUGGAUAGGGGUUCUGAGAGGAAGGUCCCCCACAUUGGAACUGAGACACGGUCCAAACUCCUACGGGAGGCAGCAGUGAGGAAUAUUGGUCAAUGGGCGAGAGCCUGAACCAGCCAAGUAGCGUGAAGGAUGAAGGCUCUAUGGGUCGUAAACUUCUUUUAUAUGGGAAUAAAGUUUUCCACGUGUGGAAUUUUGUAUGUACCAUAUGAACAAGGAUCGGCUAACUCCGUGCCAGCAGCCGCGGUAAUACGGAGGAUCCGAGCGUUAUCCGGAUUUAUUGGGUUUAAAGGGAGCGUAGGUGGAUUGUUAAGUCAGUUGUGAAAGUUUGCGGCUCAACCGUAAAAUUGCAGUUGAAACUGGCAGUCUUGAGUACAGUAGAGGUGGGCGGAAUUCGUGGUGUAGCGGUGAAAUGCUUAGAUAUCACGAAGAACUCCGAUUGCGAAGGCAGCUCACUAGACUGUCACUGACACUGAUGCUCGAAAGUGUGGGUAUCAAACAGGAUUAGAUACCCUGGUAGUCCACACAGUAAACGAUGAAUACUCGCUGUUUGCGAUAUACAGUAAGCGGCCAAGCGAAAGCAUUAAGUAUUCCACCUGGGGAGUACGCCGGCAACGGUGAGACUCAAAGGAAUUGACGGGGGCCCGCACAAGCGGAGGAACAUGUGGUUUAAUUCGAUGGUACGCGAGGAACCUUACCCGGGCUUAAAUUGCAACAGAAUAUAUUGGAAACAGUAUAGCCGUAAGGCUGUUGUGAAGGUGCUGCAUGGUUGUCGUCAGCUCGUGCCGUGAGGCGUCGGCUUAAGUGCCAUAACGAGCGCAACCCUUAUCUUUAGUUACUAACAGGUCAUGCUGAGGACUCUAGAGAGACUGCCGUCGUAAGAUGUGAGGAAGGUGGGGAUGACGUCAAAUCAGCACGGCCCUUACGUCCGGGGCUACACACGUGUUACAAUGGGGGGUACAGAAGGCGGCUACCUGGUGACAGGAUGCUAAUCCCAAAAACCUCUCUCAGUUCGGAUCGAAGUCUGCAACCCGACUUCGUGAAGCUGGAUUCGCUAGUAAUCGCGCAUCAGCCAUGGCGCGGUGAAUACGUUCCCGGGCCUUGUACACACCGCCCGUCAAGCCAUGAAAGCCGGGGGUACCUGAAGUACGUAACCGCAAGGAGCGUCCUAGGGUAAAACUGGUAAUUG
Molecule: ribosomal RNA, 1434 nt
Filed under: uncultured organism
Description: SSU rRNA
Rfam family: Bacterial small subunit ribosomal RNA
Source: RNAcentral